CUUAGACCUGAGAAACAGAAUAAUGUUUUAUUAUUUUAUUAUUUUAUUAUUAACUAUGUUAACAGUAUAAUGUUUUUUUGUCUGUUUGUUUUCAGAGACUCCCCAGAAAAUGUAUAUGCAAUUUUACAGAGGAAACUAUUCACUUAUAAUGAAAACCCUCUUCAGUUCCAAUCAUUAAUAAUUAUUGGCUCAGGGGCUCAUGCAUGCCUUGAAGAAGCUGUGGCAGAUGGGAGUCAGAGGAAGAGAUACAAGCAUCCAUCAUGUAAAAAGAGGAAGAUUGUGAGAAGGAAGACAACAUGGACUAACUCUCAAUUUUGGCAACAGCUGAUUCUGAAUCUGUUGUGGGAUAGUUUUUCUCCAGUAUUUUUCAGUUAACUAUGACAGUAAGGAAACAAAGUUGCAGAGGCUGAUUGCUUGACAGACACAGACGAACACUUCACAUAAAAUGAAAAAAAAAAAAAAGGAAAAAAAUAAAGGUGUGGUAUACCAGAGGUAUACA
RNAcentral lists this long non-coding RNA (499 nucleotides) under Anas platyrhynchos platyrhynchos (common mallard). RNAcentral's name for it is "lncRNA (ENSAPLG00000019661.1)". Lineage: Eukaryota; Metazoa; Chordata; Aves; Anseriformes; Anatidae. The record is from RNAcentral.